Molecule: ribosomal RNA, 497 nt
Filed under: uncultured bacterium
Lineage: Bacteria
Description: partial 16S ribosomal RNA
Rfam family: Bacterial small subunit ribosomal RNA
Source: RNAcentral
GAUGAACGCUGGCGGCGUGCCUAAUACAUGCAAGUCGAGCGGACAGGCGCGGAGCUUGCUCCGCUGACGUUAGGGGCGGGCGGGUGAGUCACGCGUGUAUACCCUACCUGUCAGAGUGAGAUCACUUGGAAAAACGGGAUCAUAUACGGGAUGAUCUAUUGAACCGCGUGGUUCAAUGGUGAAAGACGGUUUUGGUGUCACUUCUAGAUGGAUCCGCGCCGGAUUAGGUGGUUGGUAAGGUAACGGCUUACCAAGGCAACGAUGCGUAGACGACGGGAGAGGGGGAUCGGCGACACUGGAGGGUAGACACGGUCAAGACUCCUGCGAGAGGGAGCAGUAGGGAACGGUCCGCAAUGGUCGAAAGCAUGACGGAGCAACCGCACGCGAGUUAUGAAGGCCUUCGGAGCGUGAAACUCUGUUACGAGGGAAGAACAAAUGUGUAAGUAACUAUGCACUUCUUGACGGUACCUAAUCAGAAAGCCCCGGCUAACUACGUG